Molecule: long non-coding RNA, 3517 nt
Filed under: Bemisia tabaci
Lineage: Eukaryota; Metazoa; Arthropoda; Insecta; Hemiptera; Aleyrodidae
Description: lncRNA ENSASIAIIG003618
Source: RNAcentral
UCUGAUUGGCAAACUGCUUCAAAAGUUGGAAACAAUGAAUCACCACUAACUGUUUCUAACAGAUCCUUCAAGUUAAUUAGUCUUCCACAAAACGAUCUACAUUUUAAAUUGUACAGCGAGAAAAAUAACAAAAAUCCUACAAUCUUAUCAGAAUCUAUUGUGUCUCAAUUCAAUCACCUGAAAGCUCUCCACGAUGAUAUAGGUGAAAAAUCCUCCAAGUCUCAUCUCUCUGAAAGUCAGCCUUACCCUUUUAACACAUUUUUAGAGACCAAUGGAGAGAGGGAUGUGGAAAGUUUGUGUUAUCUACUAAAUUCCUCUGGAAGCAAUUUUCAAAAUACUGAUGCCUUUCCUAAUCAUUCAAAUAAACAAGACGAUGAAAUUGAUUUUCGCAUUGGGUUGUAUCGUGACUCUUUAAGGAAUUCCCAAUCUCCCAAAAGCACACGUAUUUCCAAGGAUGAUUUGGACCUAAAUUACAAUGUGAGAAGAAAAGAUCCACAAUCAGAGUUUCAACCUGUUCAACCUCCAAUAUUACUGUGGAAUUCCCCAUCUAAUUCGCCCUCAAAAAUUAUUUUUAACAGCUUUCCCAAGAUUUUUUAUGACAGCCAAAAGGAACAUUCCUCUCAGGAAAGAUUUCUCGGUGAAAAUCCUAAAGUAUUUGCUUUGAGUCCCUCUCUUCAAGUGAUAAAUCCUGUCAUUUUACUCCCCAAUGAUGAUGCUAUUACUUCUGCAAUGAGAAGUCAACUUGAACCUAGUGCAUUUGACCCCUCAGUCGCUUACACCAAAAAGCAGAGGAAGUUGGUCAAGUUCUACCAAAAUUUACUCCCGAAAAAAAGUGACAAAGAGAAAUCAAAAAGUGCCACACCAUGGGAUUAUGCACUCAGUGUUCCUUUGAAUUUAACUCCAAAUCUGAAAGAAACAGCCCUUCCUGGUGUGAGUGCUGCUUUUUUGUUGAAGACUCUCUCAAAAAGUCAGCUUUUAAAAAUACCUCCGUUGACCUAACUGUUUCGUCAGAGGUAAAUAAUGCUAACUUGGGGCACAAAAUCUCUGAGAAGAUAUUCAAGGUGAUAAAUGAAUCUGGAUCAGAAACUAAUCAUAGUCCAAGUACUUUGAAUGCUAUGAAAAGCAACAUGAGUCAGCAGAGUGUUACGCCAGUUCAUUUCCAAGUCACUGCGAAGAUUGAUUGGCCAUACCAAAAAUUAAGCGAAAAAAUUCAGAACACGCCGGUUAUCAUUCAAGUAUUAGUCCAGAACAGAACAGAUCCAACCACGAAUCCACUAUUUGAUCAUAAAUCGAGGGUGAAUUUUCAUAAAGGUAUGAAAAGCAGCCGUAGAAAAGUCCACCCUUGCCUUACAUCAAAUCGCCAUUCUUUUAGACAUCUAAGAAAGAAAUCUGGUCUUCACUCGAGACACUAUCGUUCGAGAGAUUCUGGAAUUGAGAAAUUAUCUCACAGUACAGAAGAAUCUCCUCAUUCCUUAGCAGAACUCAGUCAUGGAAUUUCUAAAUCCGCAGCUCAGCAUGGUGAAAACAAUUUUUCCAGCGGGUCUUUGAGAAGAGAAAAACAAGAUUUCAGUAACUAUCAUCAUUUGAAAGCUGGCCAAUUGAGGCCGGAAGUAUUCCAACAGUCCCUCAAGAAGUCUAUAUCAGCGCAGCCACUUAAUCAUCGUUAUUGGCACUCUGCAAAGGCAAAUUUAAGAUCCACUCCAUCAAAUGGCUCCAGAAAGAUAGUUGGUCAUCUUCAGAGAAAAUUGAAAAACUAUGACUCCGGAAAAAUGUUAAAUAAUCUGUUUGAAUACAGUGACUAUGACCCUUGGAAUUCAACAUCUGCAGAUCUCAUUAACUCUGGCUCGUCUGAACAGCUAAGUCCUGAUUGGUUCAUUUUACCCAAUUCAAGUCCUACUCCGAGGAAAAAUAUAAAUCCUAGAUGGGCCCAAAAACCACAGGAGGAAUCUAUAGUGCCCACAAAAAGCUCAGAGUUUUCUGCAAAAGACUGUAAAUUAGCCUAUGGCAGCAAGUGUGUCUGUGAUAUGAGUAAAGUUUUGACUGAUUAUGAUACCAUAAUUUGUGAUGAAGAGAGCACUGAAGAGGCUAAAUUACGAGCUAUUUUAAAAUACCAAUGCUCAUCAUACUUGCCUUUACCAGCAGGCUAUUAUAUUGACAAAAGUACCAAGUCUUUCCCAAACGACGUAACGGAGCAAAUGGCCCCAGAAAAUGUGAAUGGCUCCAAAGAAAUAGAUGCAGAAGUUUUAAGCCAUUUGCAAAGAGUUGACAUUACUUCAAUAGGCACCUCUCGUUUGCGCUAUGCUUUUGUAGGAUCAAAAGUUGAAAUUCCAUGCUACGAUAAUUUCCAAACGCCCGUGCCAAUCAAAGCAACCGAUAGCAUUCAGUACAAAUGGCAAAAGGGGAAGAAAGUUAUCACUGAGGGCCGAAUGAAAGAAUCUUCCAAUGGUACUCUCACAAUUGACAGUGUUGUUAUGAUGGAUACUGGCAUAUUUUUUUGCAUUAUUUCAUUUAGCAGUCCUGAAAUGAAGAAUCAAGAACGCAUCUUCAAUCACACUCUGUCAGUGGUUACUGUUCCCAAAAUUACAACUCAAGCUGUGAUUCAUUUCAAAACCAACGCAAGAUGCAAGCCUGAGAUCCUUCAGAUGCUUAAUUCAUACUUCCCACAAUUAAUUCAAGAAUCAAUUUGCGAGGCUGGUGAAAAGGAUAACGAGAUUUGCGAAAUUGGUGUUUUCCAUCCUUUUUGUCUUCAAAAUAAAACCGACAAUACCAUCAUAUCGUUGAAUGUUCAAAUGAACGUCCGAAGUAUUGAAGAUUUAAUCAUCCACAGCUAUGCGAACAAAGCUGUCUGUGCUCCUGUAUGUCAUCAGAAACUAUACCUAAAAACAUCAUUAAUACUGAAGGAAAGUCUUCAGGAAGCUCUCCUAACUCCCAUACUAGAUGCAACAUCCAUCUCUGAUAUAGCUCUAACUCCUCUGCCAAGCAGUUUCAAUAUGAAAAUGACUGUCGGUUGUGAUGCUGGAUUUCGUCUAGCCGAAAACUUUGUGGUAAUUCAGUUUUUAUCAUCUUUAACCUUGAAACUGUUUCCUAUAAUGACUAGUUAGACCAGAAAAUUUUAAGAAUAAAAUAGAAAGGAUUGUUUGGGCUAGUGUGAAAAGCCAAUUUAGAGAAUCGAAUAUUGAACAUACAAAAAGGAAUCUAAUGUUUGAACCUCCCAGCUGAGGUGGUAUUAAUACCAAUAGCGCUCACUGUGAAUGAUUGACAAUUUAUUCUGAACACAAGCAAGCAGUGUGAAUUGACUAUCAUCAGAUGAUCUCGCCACUUCCUUGCUGAAAGGGACAGACAGAGUGUCAGGACUGUCAGGCUGGCAUGGUUAUCCACAGACAGGAGAACGGAUUAUUGAGUGCUCUUUUUAAACUGUCAGGAUUGGAACCUUAGUGCCAGCAGUGAACUUCCUAAACCACACCACUACCAAGGUUGAUCUCUCUGAGAAGUCAGCUGAAAAAUUCAGGAAUCAUGG